UUAAUGAAAUAAUAUUAAGUAAUUUCCUGCUCAAUGAUAAUUAAAUAGCCGCAGUUAACACUGUGCUAAGGUAGCAUAAUCAUUAGCCUUAUAAUUUAAGGAUAGAAUGAAUGGAAUAACGUGUGGAAUACUGUCUUUAUAGUAAAUUCUUAAUUUCAUAUUUAAGUAAAAAAGCUUAAUAAAAAAAAAAGACGACAAGACCCUAUCGAACUUUACUAAAGUUAACUGGGGAGGUAAAUUAAUAAAAACUUAUUUUUAAUAAAUUAAUAAUUAGACCUUUUAUUUAAAAAUUACAAGAACAAGUUACCGUAGGGAUAACAGCAUAAUUUUAUUUAAGAGUUCUUAUCUAAAAUAAAGAUUGUGACCUCGAUGUUGAAUAAUUACCUAAAAUUAGAAAAAUAAUUUUAAGGAAGAACUGUUCGUCUUUUAAAUAAUUACA
This 439-nucleotide ribosomal RNA is filed under the name Pritha nana. RNAcentral's name for it is "partial 16S ribosomal RNA". It matches the Rfam family "Bacterial large subunit ribosomal RNA", at positions 1834 to 2600 of the family's 2925-position model. Lineage: Eukaryota; Metazoa; Arthropoda; Arachnida; Araneae; Filistatidae. The record is from RNAcentral.